GGCGGGGUAGCUCAGUUGGUAGAGCAAAGGACUCAUAAGCCUUGGGUCGCGGGUUCGAUUCCCGCCCCCGCUA
RNAcentral lists this transfer RNA (73 nucleotides) under bacterium. RNAcentral describes it as "tRNA-Met". It matches the Rfam family "tRNA". From Rfam's summary of the family: Transfer RNA (tRNA) molecules are approximately 80 nucleotides in length. Their secondary structure includes four short double-helical elements and three loops (D, anti-codon, and T loops). Further hydrogen bonds mediate the characteristic L-shaped molecular structure. tRNAs have two regions of fundamental functional importance: the anti-codon, which is responsible for specific mRNA codon recognition, and the 3' end, to which the tRNAs corresponding amino acid is attached (by aminoacyl-tRNA synthetases). tRNAs cope with the degeneracy of the genetic code in two manners: having more than one tRNA (with a specific anti-codon) for a particular amino acid; and 'wobble' base-pairing, i.e. permitting non-standard base-pairing at the 3rd anti-codon position. The record is from RNAcentral.